ACAGAUACAAAACAGACCCGCUAGAUUUAAAUCAGCACAGCCAGCGAAGAUCGAACGCAACAGUUUUGAACGAACACACCUUUUUUUAAACAACAAAA
Sinocyclocheilus anshuiensis is the source of this 98-nucleotide long non-coding RNA. RefSeq lists it as uncharacterized. The transcript is spliced from 3 exons. NCBI's taxonomy places the organism in Eukaryota, Metazoa, Chordata, Actinopteri, Cypriniformes, Cyprinidae. The record is from RefSeq and is a predicted model, not a curated record.